This 2234-nucleotide ribosomal RNA is filed under the name Salmonella enterica. RNAcentral's name for it is "partial 23S ribosomal RNA". The record is from RNAcentral. Lineage: Bacteria; Pseudomonadati; Pseudomonadota; Gammaproteobacteria; Enterobacterales; Enterobacteriaceae.
GGGCGUUAAGUUGCAGGGUAUAGACCCGAAACCCGGUGAUCUAGCCAUGGGCAGGUUGAAGGUUGGGUAACACUAACUGGAGGACCGAACCGACUAAUGUUGAAAAAUUAGCGGAUGACCUGUGGCUGGGGGUGAAAGGCCAAUCAAACCGGGAGAUAGCUGGUUCUCCCCGAAAGCUAUUUAGGUAGCGCCUCGUGAAUUCAUCUCCGGGGGUAGAGCACUGUUUCGGCUAGGGGGCCAUCCCGGCUUACCAACCCGAUGCAAACUGCGAAUACCGGAGAAUGUUAUCACGGGAGACACACGGCGGGUGCUAACGUCCGUCGUGAAGAGGGAAACAACCCAGACCGCCAGCUAAGGUCCCAAAGUCAUGGUUAAGUGGGAAACGAUGUGGGAAGGCCCAGACAGCCAGGAUGUUGGCUUAGAAGCAGCCAUCAUUUAAAGAAAGCGUAAUAGCUCACUGGUCGAGUCGGCCUGCGCGGAAGAUGUAACGGGGCUAAACCAUGCACCGAAGCUGCGGCAGCGAACGUAUCACUUAAAGCGAUUCAGCGGAUGACGAUUGACGGAGCGAAGCGACGUCAAAGCGUAUACAAAGUCGAGUCGGUUUAAGGAUACGUUCGUUGGGUAGGGGAGCGUUCUGUAAGCCUGUGAAGGUGGCCUGUGAGGGUUGCUGGAGGUAUCAGAAGUGCGAAUGCUGACAUAAGUAACGAUAAAGCGGGUGAAAAGCCCGCUCGCCGGAAGACCAAGGGUUCCUGUCCAACGUUAAUCGGGGCAGGGUGAGUCGACCCCUAAGGCGAGGCCGAAAGGCGUAGUCGAUGGGAAACGGGUUAAUAUUCCCGUACUUGGUGUUACUGCGAAGGGGGGACGGAGAAGGCUAUGUUGGCCGGGCGACGGUUGUCCCGGUUUAAGCGUGUAGGUGUGUGUUCCAGGUAAAUCCGGUUCACUUUAACACUGAGGCGUGAYGACGAGGCACUACGGUGCUGAAGCAACAAAUGCCCUGCUUCCAGGAAAAGCCUCUAAGCAUCAGGUAACAUCAAAUCGUACCCCAAACCGACACAGGUGGUCAGGUAGAGAAUACCAAGGCGCUUGAGAGAACUCGGGUGAAGGAACUAGGCAAAAUGGUGCCGUAACUUCGGGAGAAGGCACGCUGACACGUAGGUGAAGUGAUUUACUCAYGGAGCUGAAGUCAGUCGAAGAUACCAGCUGGCUGCAACUGUUUAUUAAAAACACAGCACUGUGCAAACACGAAAGUGGACGUAUACGGUGUGACGCCUGCCCGGUGCCGGAAGGUUAAUUGAUGGGGUCAGCGCAAGCGAAGCUCCUGAUCGAAGCCCCGGUAAACGGCGGCCGUAACUAUAACGGUCCUAAGGUAGCGAAAUUCCUUGUCGGGUAAGUUCCGACCUGCACGAAUGGCGUAAUGAUGGCCAGGCUGUCUCCACCCGAGACUCAGUGAAAUUGAACUCGCUGUGAAGAUGCAGUGUACCCGCGGCAAGACGGAAAGACCCCGUGAACCUUUACUAUAGCUUGACACUGAACAUUGAGCCUUGAUGUGUAGGAUAGGUGGGAGGCUUUGAAGUGUGGACGCCAGUCUGCAUGGAGCCGRCCUUGAAAUACCACCCUUUAAUGUUUGAUGUUCUAACGUGGACCCGURAUCCGGGUUGCGGACAGUGUCUGGUGGGUAGUUUGACUGGGGCGGUCUCCUCCUAAAGAGUAACGGAGGAGCACGAAGGUUGGCUAAUCCUGGUCGGACAUCAGGAGGUUAGUGCAAUGGCAUAAGCCAGCUUGACUGCGAGCGUGACGGCGCGAGCAGGUGCGAAAGCAGGUCAUAGUGAUCCGGUGGUUCUGAAUGGAAGGGCCAUCGCUCAACGGAUAAAAGGUACUCCGGGGAUAACAGGCUGAUACCGCCCAAGAGUUCAUAUCGACGGCGGUGUUUGGCACCUCGAUGUCGGCUCAUCACAUCCUGGGGCUGAAGUAGGUCCCAAGGGUAUGGCUGUUCGCCAUUUAAAGUGGUACGCGAGCUGGGUUUAGAACGUCGUGAGACAGUUCGGUCCCUAUCUGCCGUGGGCGCUGGAGAACUGAGGGGGGCUGCUCCUAGUACGAGAGGACCGGAGUGGACGCAUCACUGGUGUUCGGGUUGUCAUGCCAAUGGCACUGCCCGGUAGCUAAAUGCGGAAGAGAUAAGUGCUGAAAGCAUCUAAGCACGAAACUUGCCCCGAGAUGAGUUCUCCCUGAGACUU